Molecule: unclassified non-coding RNA, 117 nt
Organism: Papio anubis (olive baboon)
Lineage: Eukaryota; Metazoa; Chordata; Mammalia; Primates; Cercopithecidae
Rfam family: Metazoan signal recognition particle RNA
About the family: The signal recognition particle (SRP) is a universally conserved ribonucleoprotein. It is involved in the co-translational targeting of proteins to membranes.
Source: Ensembl
GCUGGGUGUGGUGGCUCACUCCUGUAAUCCCAGCACUUUGGGAGGCCGAGGCGGGUGGAUCACCUGAGGUCAGGAGUUCAAGACCAGCCUGGCCAAUAUGGUGAAACCCCGUCUCUA